This is a long non-coding RNA of Anopheles gambiae (African malaria mosquito), 959 nucleotides long. RefSeq lists it as uncharacterized. NCBI's taxonomy places the organism in Eukaryota, Metazoa, Arthropoda, Insecta, Diptera, Culicidae. The record is from RefSeq and is a predicted model, not a curated record. The transcript is spliced from 4 exons.
AUUUUUCACAUUACAUUCGGUUUCGAUAAUAACCUUCUACCGCUCACUUAUCGCUCACUUGGCACUCACUUUAGCUCUCAUAGGAUAAAGACGGUUAUUUUAAUAAACAUUACAAAACACCCAAAAACAAAAUCAGCGGUUUUCAUUCAGCAGAAAAAUCCGAAGCUAAAUCCGUACGAAAAUAAAGCGAAAAACGCUAAAUGUACACGACGCGACGAACCUCGCAAGGUCCGUUCAUCAUCCGCGUUAACGUUCGACUGUUGAGCGCGGUACGGCUACUAGCAAAACCCCGACCUCUGAGUGUGUGUGUGUGAGCUUGUCGUUCCCACAGAGUGUGUCGCGCGCGCAUUGCCGCCAGGCGCACAUUUUGCACGCCAGCGGCCGCGCACGCUUUUUUUAAUCCUACAAUGGAGACGCCCGUGUACGGUCGAGUGUGAUGACAACAACAAGCAACGAUAAAGCGCGGCCCUUUUCCGCGAGAGAAGAAACCCCCCCCCCCCCACGUCGCACGUUUGCCGCGUCUGUGAACGACAGUUUCUUCGUCCAUCGAGAGCGCGCGCACGGGAGAGAAUUAUAGUCGACGCCGUGUGAGCAAAACCGUCCGUGUGCGUCAGGCUUAAGCUACUUCGGGCGAUGACGGCGAUGACAGGCGUUGGUGGCUAAAAUGACGUCAUCACUCCAUACAAACCCAGACGUCAAACUAGAUACAGAACUGGAUUCGACCAACCUAUUGUAGCAAAACCCUGUAGCAGAUACAAUUCUAUGUUAAAGUCAUACUGAUUGACAGCUAAUGUCAAUCUCUUGCAUCCCGAUAGAUGACGUUGCAUCAUUAAAACAAAGUGUCGAAUUGUCAGAAGACAGCUUGGCUGGACUGGGCUGGACUGUGGCCUGGAGUGUAUGUUUGUGAGUGUAGUUGCUGUCACAGAUGCCCCCCCCCCUCCCCCCUGCUACUACUUACA